Long non-coding RNA from Bos taurus (domestic cattle), 1364 nucleotides. The record is from Ensembl. NCBI's taxonomy places the organism in Eukaryota, Metazoa, Chordata, Mammalia, Artiodactyla, Bovidae.
GCAGGGGAAGUGGUGUUUGUCCUGCAAGUGUCCACCAGCUCACAGCACAGGAAGCGGAUGUUGUAGUUGUAGCAGAUGGGGGGCAGCUGGUCCUUGUUCCGGCAAAUCAGGCCCACGGAUUUGUUACAGAUCACGUCCUGGCCCAGCUCCUGCAGUGGGGUGUCAGGGAAGCUCUCUGCCCGGCACUGCACAUCCUUGGGCUCUGCACAGAAUUUAUAACCUUUGGCUCUGAGAUUCGAAAUAGUGUCAAAAUCUCCACUGUUUCUCCCUGAGCCAGGGUAGCUGCCGUCUAUCCACUCAGUCCAGUUGCAUAAAACUUGUAAACAGGUGACCGUGGUGGGCUCAGGUGAGGACGGCUCUGAGGACCUUGGAGCUGUGGACAACACAGAAGUUGUGCUUGAAAUUGUUGUUGAAUUGUUGGUGCUGCUUGUGUGCACAGGGGUUGGACUGGUUGAAGGAGCCGAGGUUGUGCUGCUUGUCUGCACAGAGAUUGUACUGGUUGUAGGAGCUGAGGCUGUGCUGCUUGUCUGCACAGGGGUUGUACUGGUUGUAGGAGCUGAGGCUGUGCUGCUUGUCUGCACAGAGAUUGUACUGGUUGUAGGAGCUGAGGUUGUGCUGCUUCUCUGCACAGGGGUUGUACUGGUUGUAGGAGCCGAGGUGGUGCUGCUUGUCUGCACAGAGAUUGUACUGGUUGUAGGAGCUGAGGCUGUGCUGCUUGUCUGCACAGGGGUUGGACGGGUUGUCGGAGCUGAGGUUGUGCUGCUUGUCUGCACAGAGGUUGAGCUCGUUGUAGGAACUGAGGUGGUGCUGCUUGUCUGCACAGGGGUUGCACUGGUUGUAGGAGCCGAGGUGGUGCUGCUUGUGUGCACAGAGGUUGCACUGGAUGUGGCCUCAUGGAAGGUGGUCCCUGUGUGCACAGUGACACUCACACUGGAGGUGCUGGUUACUGUGACAGUCGGGGGAGGGCAGUGUUCUUGGGGCUCGCAGCACAGCACUCUGAUCUGGUAGUUGAGGCACAGCCUGGUCUUGCCCUUCUGGUCCUGGUUCCGACACAGCAGGCCCACGUCCUGGUGGCACUGUACCAGCUGGCCCAGCUCGUGGAUGCUGACCCCGGGGUGGUUCUCGGCUCGGCACUCCACUUUGCUGAUGGAUUCAGGUCGGUGGCAGAUGCUGUCUCCAUUCCUCAUGAUGUUGCCGAAGGUUUCAUUGUCUCCCCCGUGGGGCCCGGGCACUGGGAAGUCCACGUCGAGCCAUUUGGUCCACCUGCACUUUGGCUUGCAGGGGGUGGUCCCUGGAGAGGACUGCUCGUGCGUGCUGGGCGUGCCCCAUCUUGAUGGGGUCACGUGAGGUGAGCUAGCAGUGCU